RNAcentral lists this ribosomal RNA (447 nucleotides) under uncultured bacterium. RNAcentral's name for it is "partial 16S ribosomal RNA". It matches the Rfam family "Bacterial small subunit ribosomal RNA", at positions 29 to 523 of the family's 1533-position model. The record is from RNAcentral.
AGCGAACGCUGGCGGCAGGCUUAACACAUGCAAGUCGAACGCCCCGCAAGGGGAGUGGCAGACGGGUGAGUAACACGUGGGAACGUACCCUUUGGUUCGGAAUAACUUGGGGAAACUCAAGCUAAUACCGGAUAAGCCCUUAUGGGGAAAGGUUUACUGCCGAAGGAUCGGCCCGCGUCUGAUUAGCUAGUUGGUGAGGUAAUGGCUCACCAAGGCGACGAUCAGUAGCUGGUCUGAGAGGAUGAUCAGCCACACUGGGACUGAGACACGGCCCAGACUCCUACGGGAGGCAGCAGUGGGGAAUAUUGGACAAUGGGGGCAACUCUGAUCCAGCCAUGCCGCGUGAGUGAUGAAGGCCUUAGGGUUGUAAAGCUCUUUUACCCGGGACGAUAAUGACUGUACCGGGAGAAUAAGCCCCGGCUAACUUCGUGACAGCCGCCGCCGCAG